CAACUUUUGAAGACUUGGGGAUAUGGGUGGAUGUCUUUGCUACUAGUGAAGUCAGCAUUUGCUUGAGGUUGGACCCAUCAAAACUUUGGAGCAGAUAGCUUAUUCAGCAGGCAAGCGUAUGAUAUCAUGCUCCAUGUUGCUGCUUGGAACUUGACCAUGUUGUGGAAGAACUGGAGAAAAUUGUUGUUCUCAAUCUUCUUCAGCACCGAUCAAUAAUAUCUCUCAUUGGAGAUGUGCAGAAAUCAUCACUAAUAUUAGAGAAGAUGUUGUACUGUGUUUUGCCAAGUACUUAGAAAGCAUUCCUUAUUGUCUUUUGUUCUCUGAUUGAUGACAAGUGGUGUUCAAUUGAUCAAAGAGGUUUAUCAGCUAUAUAUGUAUUUUAAUCUGGUAUUCAUGUUUUGGUGCAUUUUAUAUAAAAUUUAUUAUUUGGCUUC
Molecule: long non-coding RNA, 434 nt
Organism: Rosa chinensis
Lineage: Eukaryota; Viridiplantae; Streptophyta; Magnoliopsida; Rosales; Rosaceae
Exons: 2
Source: RefSeq, a predicted model, not a curated record